GACGAACGCUGGCGGCGUGCUUAACACAUGCAAGUCGAACGGAAAGGCCCCUUUGGGGGUACUCGAGUGGCGAACGGGUGAGUAACACGUGAGUAACCUGCCCUUGACUUCGGGAUAACUUCAGGAAACUGGGGCUAAUACCGGAUAGGAAUCCUUGCUGCAUGGUGGGGGUUGGAAAGCUUCGGCGGUUUUGGAUGGACUCGCGGCUUAUCAGCUUGUUGGUGGGGUAGUGGCUUACCAAGGCUUUGACGGGUAGCCGGCCUGAGAGGGCGACCGGCCACGUUGGGACUGAGAUACGGCCCAGACUCCUACGGGAGGCAGCAGUGGGGAAUAUUGCACAAUGGGCGGAAGCCUGAUGCAGCAACGCCGCGUGCAGGAUGACGGCCUUCGGGUUGUAAACCGCUUUCAGCAGGGGCGAAGCUUGUGGUGACGGUACCUGCAGAAGAAGCACCGGCUAACUACGUG
Molecule: ribosomal RNA, 465 nt
Filed under: uncultured bacterium
Lineage: Bacteria
Description: partial 16S ribosomal RNA
Rfam family: Bacterial small subunit ribosomal RNA
Source: RNAcentral